CAUAGCGACUAUCGUGGCAUAUCAAUAAGCGGAGGAAAAGAAACUAACUAGGAUUCCCUCAGUAACGGCGAGUGAAGCGGGAAGAGCUCAAAUUUGAAAUCUUCAAGGUUUUACCUUGACGAAUUGUAGUUUAAAGAAGUGUUUUCUGUUAGAGAGUAGGUAAAAGUUCUUUGGAAUAGGACAUCAUAGAGGGUGAGAAUCCCGUAUUUGACUAUUCUUUCUAGCUUUGUGAUACACUUUCAAAGAGUCGGAUUGUUUGGGAAUGCAGUCCAAAAUGGGUGGUAAAUUUCAUCUAAAGCUAAAUAUUGGCGAGAGACCGAUAGCGAACAAGUACCGUGAGGGAAAGAUGAAAAGAACUUUGAAAAGAGAGUUAAACAGUACGUGAAAUUGUCAAAAGGGAAGCGUUUGACACCAGUGUUGUUUAGUUGAAAAUCAAUUCAAUAGUUUUUGAUUUUGAGUAGUAUUGACUUCAUCAGCUUGCUGCUCUCUUUUCGGAAAUUAUUGAAUGCACUUUUCAGUUAACAAGUCAACAUCAAUUUCUUUUGUUGUAAAAGGGUAAGAGGAAGGUGGCUUACGUUUCGGCGUAAGUGUUUAUAGCCUUUUACCUCUGCAAUCGGAGAGAUUGAGGACAGCAGCGUAGAUCCUUCGGGGUUAGAUACACUUGUGCUAAGCUAUAGCCUUGUAUAGACAACUUGUUGACUAUGCUCAGUCAUGUAGCUUACUCGCUUGUGCUAUUUUACCUACGCUUAGGAUGUUGAUAGUCACAGCGUGUAC
RNAcentral lists this ribosomal RNA (774 nucleotides) under uncultured Neocallimastigales. RNAcentral's name for it is "partial large subunit ribosomal RNA". It matches the Rfam family "Eukaryotic large subunit ribosomal RNA", at positions 22 to 635 of the family's 3401-position model. Lineage: Eukaryota; Fungi; Neocallimastigomycota; Neocallimastigomycetes; Neocallimastigales. The record is from RNAcentral.